Molecule: transfer RNA, 68 nt
Filed under: Onitis falcatus
Lineage: Eukaryota; Metazoa; Arthropoda; Insecta; Coleoptera; Scarabaeidae
Description: tRNA-Gly
Source: RNAcentral
AUUUAUAUAGUAUAAAACAAUUAUAAUUGAUUUCCAAUCAAAAGAUCUAAUUUAGUUUAGUAUAAAUA